This 390-nucleotide long non-coding RNA is filed under the name Mytilus galloprovincialis (Mediterranean mussel). Lineage: Eukaryota; Metazoa; Mollusca; Bivalvia; Mytilida; Mytilidae. The record is from RNAcentral.
AUCAGGUUGUUAAAUUUACAAAAAAUCAAAUGUGCCUUUAUCUUACUUUUAUUGUGAAUAUGUUUAGAUUUUGCCAUACAGUUGACUAUGGUGUGGUAUAGAUGUUUAUUUUUAUUAUGCCCCAUUUAUGGGCAUUUUGUUUUCUUGUCCGUCUGUCCGUCGUACCGUUCAUCUGUCCGUGCGUUCGUCCGUCCGUCCGUUCGUCCGUCCGUCCGUUCGUCCCACUUCAGGUUAAAGAUUUUGGUCGAGGUAGUUUUUGAUGAAGUUGAAAUCCAAUCAACUUGAAACUUAGUACACAUGUUCCCUAUGAUAUGAUCUUUCUAAUUUUAAUGCCAAAUUAGAGAUUUCCCCCCAUUUUCACGGUCCACUGAACAUAGAAAAUGAUAGUGC